AGUGUAUGUAAUUUAAAAAAAAUAUCAAGCUGUGACCCUGACAUUAGGACCCUCAUACACC
RNAcentral lists this transfer RNA (61 nucleotides) under Cemophora coccinea (scarlet snake). RNAcentral describes it as "tRNA-His". The record is from RNAcentral. Lineage: Eukaryota; Metazoa; Chordata; Lepidosauria; Squamata; Colubridae. RNAcentral also lists the same sequence under 1 other name.